CCGCCCAUAGCUCAGUUGGUAGAGCAGCGGCCUUUUAAGCCGAGUGUCCCAGGUUCGAGUCCUGGUGGGCGGA
Molecule: transfer RNA, 73 nt
Filed under: bacterium
Lineage: Bacteria
Also listed under: 1 other name
Description: tRNA-Lys
Rfam family: tRNA
About the family: Transfer RNA (tRNA) molecules are approximately 80 nucleotides in length. Their secondary structure includes four short double-helical elements and three loops (D, anti-codon, and T loops). Further hydrogen bonds mediate the characteristic L-shaped molecular structure. tRNAs have two regions of fundamental functional importance: the anti-codon, which is responsible for specific mRNA codon recognition, and the 3' end, to which the tRNAs corresponding amino acid is attached (by aminoacyl-tRNA synthetases). tRNAs cope with the degeneracy of the genetic code in two manners: having more than one tRNA (with a specific anti-codon) for a particular amino acid; and 'wobble' base-pairing, i.e. permitting non-standard base-pairing at the 3rd anti-codon position.
Source: RNAcentral